RNAcentral lists this ribosomal RNA (446 nucleotides) under uncultured bacterium. Its description in RNAcentral is "partial 16S ribosomal RNA". It matches the Rfam family "Bacterial small subunit ribosomal RNA", at positions 338 to 795 of the family's 1533-position model. The record is from RNAcentral.
CCUACGGGGGGCAGCAGUCGAGAAUCAUUCACAAUGGGGGAAACCCUGAUGGGGCGACGCCGCGUGGGGGAAUGAAGGUCUGCGGAUUGUAAACCCCUGUCAUGUGGGAGCAAAUUAAAAAGAUAGUACCACAAGAGGAAGAGACGGCUAACUCUGGGCCAGCAGCCGCGGUAAUACAGAGGGCUCAAGCGUUGUUCGGAAUCACUGGGCGUAAAGCGUGCGUAGGCUGUUUCGUAAGUCGUGUGUGAAAGGCGCGGGCUCAACCCGCGGACGGCACAUGAUACUGCGAGACGAGAGGAAUGGAGGGGGAACCGGAAUUCUCGGUGUAGCAGUGAAAUGCGUAGAUAUCGAGAGGAACACUCGUGGCGAAGGCGGGUUCCUGGACAUUAACUGACGCUGAGGCACGAAGGCCAGGGGAGCGAAAGGGAUUAGAUACCCCUGUAGUC